GUUCAUAGUAAAAAGCACAAAGUGUUAUGGGAAAGUGAAGGAUGCUAUGCAAAUGUUCCAUUUAUGGUUUUAGCACGCAAGGUUUUGGAUUGCUCACAUGGAAUAGAUCGUAAUGAUGCAGCAAAGAAAGCAUACAAGAAUAAGACAAAAACAAAGAUAACUGAACACUCUUGUAUGAGGAGUUAUAUUAAUGUGCAGGACACAAAAAAAUUUGAAUGCCCAGCCCAAGUUAUUUUGAAGGAAAUUAUAUACUUCAAGGAUUACAUGGUAAUUUUAAAGUGAUUUACUAAGAUAAUAAGAAUUUUUGGUACUAUAUAUAAUGCACCAACAUUAAAAAAAUUUUAAGAAUAGCAUUUUAAACAUGUUUUGUAAUUUAUAAUUCACGCCAAUAUUAGAACUACUUUUAAUUCAACGCAAAAAGAGUGCAAAGCCAUAUAAGUAAAACACACUCGCAGCGUUGUUUUAAUAAGACAAAAUUGAGAUGUAAUUUAUUUAAAUGCAGGUCUAGACCGGAGUUUUAGUAAUGCUUAUUAUGUUUUAUUUGAACAUACUUCUAUCCAUGUAACUUUUUUUUUUUGGACAUAUCACUGCAUAAACUGUAUAAUUUUUUUGGGCAUGUCACUGCAUAAACUGUAACAUUAAUUACCUCUUUUUUGUUUAUUUCCGUUUUCAUAAUUUUAAACCUUGCUGAACCCAACACAUGGAAAAAGAGAAAAAUUUCUUUAAAAAUAAAAAAUUUGCUCAAGAACAAGAGCGACAUUGGAUUCACUGAGAAGCGAAUUAAGCUAAUUAUUGAUGACAUUUCAGAACACAGAAACCAUGCUGUUAGAGAAGAUAUAAUGUUAGCUAAUUCCUUUUGAUGCUGAGUUUCAGUCAUGAUUUUGAGAGCUUAACAUCAAAACCUGAUGUUUAACUUUUGAAUCAUAAACUGAGAGUCAAUACAAUAUAAGAUUGCAAAUCAUGAAAAUGUCAACUGAGAAAAAGAAAGACCUAAUAAAAAAUCGGAAAUUAGAAGGGAUGACCAAUCAAAGGUAAUGAAGUGUUGUGAAAUGGAGUUCAAACAAAUGGAAAAAUUAAAUUUGGCAACAAAAAAAUGGCAUCAUUUGUUUUUACCAUUUGUUUCUAAUUUAGGUUAUGUCAUAAUUUUGUAAUAAUUUAUUUAAUAAAGUAUUUUUAAAAAUUCAGUUUUAACAAAUGUAAAUACUGGCUACCAUUAUAAAUUACCCUUAAAUAACAAAAUUUUCUAAACUACAUACAAAAGUAAUUUAAAAAGUUAACGCUUAGCAAAGUCAAGUUAUGAU
Hydra vulgaris (swiftwater hydra) is the source of this 1301-nucleotide long non-coding RNA. RefSeq lists it as uncharacterized. The record is from RefSeq and is a predicted model, not a curated record. Lineage: Eukaryota; Metazoa; Cnidaria; Hydrozoa; Anthoathecata; Hydridae.